AAUCAGAAACAGCUGGACGAUUUUCCCGCACCAGAGCCCAGGGUGGGAGUCCUGCUGAAAGAGUGGAAGCCCUGGAUGGAGCAUUUUCUCUCCGACGCGCCUUUCCACCCUUCCUGCUCUCCGCUGCCCCCCACCCAGCCCCGCAGUCCGCUGAGGGCGUGAGUAUUGGGAAGUAAACCCAGGGGUGCUGUACCACUGAUCUACACCACCAGCCCUCCAGUUUUCACUCUGAGACAAGGUCUCUCUGAGCUGCCCAGACUGGCCUGCAACCUGCAAUCUCCUGCCUCAGCCUCCCAAACAGCUGGGACUACAGGCUCACAGCAAAACAAACACUGGCAUGUGGUAGAGAAGAGCAGAAGCGCUUUUACAUCCCUCCAAGUAAGUAAGUCACCUGCAGUGUCACAGAAGGACUGAUUUGAUUCUUCUUAAAGUGUAAUGUUCAUUUCUCUCAUUUGCCUAUAGAAAUUUAAAGCGUGUGAAGAAGGGCAACAGGUAGGAGGAGACAUUUAUGGGUAAUGUUCUCUUUCUUUCUCCACCUGCUUUUUACAUGUUCCUAAACCUUUGGAUUACCAGAGAUUACCUACAGAUUACGAGAGAAUGUUCUAGAGUGCUGUGGCAUGAGAGCUCCGUCUUAUACCAGCCCCAAACCUUGCCGAAGCCACCCACUGGGGCCUGUCUCAAACAGGACUGGACUCUUUUUUUUGUACUGGGGAUCAAACUCGGGUCCUUGUGCUUGUGAGGCAGGCGGUGAAACCACUGAGCUAAAUCCCCGGCCCCAGGACUGAGCUCUUGAGGGCUUUGUGUACCUGUCUUUGAUCUCAUCUUCAAAUCAAGGCAAGGCAACUGAGUCAUAAAGCAAACACAGGGAGAUAAUACUUUCAAGAGAGAAGACAUGUUUGCUGCUGGGCGUGGUGACACAGGCCUGUUAUCCCAGUUUCUUGGGUAGUGGAGAUGGAGGAUCAGAGUUCAAGACCAGCUUGUACAAGUAGGUAAGAACUUGUCUCAGGAAAAAACCAAAAACACCUCCUCCAAGAAAACCUUAAACAAAACCACAUUCAGGCAUGGUAGCCUGAGUCUAUAAUCCCAGCUACUCAGGAGGCUGAAGCAGGAGGAUCACAAGUAUUCAAGGCCAACCUGGGCCAACUUAGCAAGACCUAGUCAUGAUAUGAGAAUAUAUAUGAGAAUAGGAACGUUCUGGGGAUGUAACUCUGUGUUAGAGUAUCUGUGGGUUUAAUACGCAGUACCAAAAAAAACCCCCAAACCCCCAAAUUUCUACUUACUUAAAUAUUGGUGUUUUGGUGAGAUUAGGUUUUGCUAUUAUAGCCCAGGUUGGCCUCAAACUCAUAACCUUCCUGCCUUAGCCUCCUGAGUGCUGGGAUUACAGAGAUGUGCCACUAGGCCUAUGCCAAUCAGGUCAGUUUCAGUGGCAUAAUUUCUCAUUUAAUCCUUCCAAAGAGUGACCUGAAGUUAAUCCAUUAUCUUCCUAUUAUUCCGUCUCCCUGUCCCUGCCUUACAAGGAGAGUGACUUUGAAAUGAUCAAAACACUUGUUAUUUGUCCUCUGCUCAGCCCCUUGGAAUCAUUUAUUCACUUUUAUGGAAUGAAGUGUUGCCUGCCUCUGGAAUUGCAAAUGAAGCCAACUAAAUGUGUUGUAAUUUUGUCUUUUAACAGUGUUAAACUGAAACUCCUAAGACUGGGAGAUUAAAAUAAAAGGAUUUAUCGAACCAUUAUGAAAACAAAGGACCAGGUUCCAAGACAUGUUCCUGCAACUAGCAGCAGCAGGGUUGGGUAGCAGUUGGAAAAUGUCCAACUGGACCUAGAGUGAUGAAUAUUUCUAUAAACUUUGGGGAAGGAAGGCACUGUUUAUAUAGAACCUACACGGGCUGUGUCUAACAGGGGCAGGACUAUGUGAAAUGGGGAAAGCUCUGGGAUUGGAAUGUAGUACAUAAGAAGUAACUCACUUCAGGACUGGCUGGGGUCAAUGGUCCCAAAAGCUAGUCUGUCACUUACUAAGGCUUCUUGUACAAACCUCUUUUCCUUGUCUACCUCAUCACUACACUGGGAAUAAUAUGCCUCACAGUGCGUUUGUGAGGGUGAGUAACAUAGUAUGCAUGUGAAAUCAUUAGCAUGGUGCUAAUACCCAGGUAAGCACUCUUGACUCUUGAGUAUCAUUGGCAUUCAGGCAUACCAGUUUCAGAUGCUUAAGACAUCUCCUUAGGUCACAGGCAAAUAAACUGUGGAAAAACAAAUGAAGUCUCUGAAACAGUAUCAAAAUGUGACCUGGUUGUGGUGGUACACGCCUGUAAUCCUGGUACUCUGGGAGGCGGAGACAGGAGGAUUUCAAGUUUGAGCUUAGCUUAGGCAAUUUAGCAACUUAGCAAGAUCUUGUCUCAAAAUAAAACAGAAAGGGCUGGGAUGUAGUAGUUCAUUGUGAAGGCCCAGGGUUCAACCCCCAGUACUGACUUCCCCCCCUCCCAAGUACUCCUGUGGAACAAAUGCUCAUUGCCCACUUCUGACUCACCAUGAAAACAUCUUUUUUUUCCUUUGUGAUGCUGUGGAUGGAGGGCCUUGCAUGUGCCAGGCAAGCACUCACUAGCUGCAUCCCAACCCCACACAUUCUAUUUUUGCUUUUUGAGAAGAGUUUCACUAUGCAGCCUAGGCUAACCUGAACUGUUUCCUGGCUUUAGUCUCCCAGGUGCUGGGAUUAUAGGUAUAUGCCACCACACCCAGCUCACACAUAGUAUUUUGCAGCCAGCAUUUUAAGACAUUUGAAAUUCUGUCAAGGAUGCUGCACCAGAAGCACCCUUUAUAAUUCUCUCCAUGCGUCUCUCUCUUAGCUUUGGGACAGCACUGAGUCUGUCGUGGGAAAGUGGAUAUAGCUAGUGUUUAUUGAAAUGAUCAUUAACUGGCUUAAAUGCUAGAAAUUUAAGAUAUGUAAACAGUCAUACUGUUUGAACAUCAAAGGACUUUCAAGUGCUUCUAAGUGGCUACAACUGGCAUUGCAAACACAGCCGCAAUGCACUAGACUAGGAAACAUGAGACACAGUUAUUUGUGAAAUGAGAGAGGACAAGAUCAAACAUCUUUUUUGAGACAGGGUCACCUUAUGUAGUCCAGGCUGCCCUUGAACUCACUGUGUAGUCCAAGAUGGUUUUGAACUGGAAGUGAUCCCCCUGCAUCAGCCUCCAAGUGCUGGGAUUAUAGGUGUGCGCCAUCAUUCCUGCCAUGAUCAGGGAUUCUUAAAGCGGAGUAUAUGAGUCAUAGAUGGCUUCAGGUCUUUGGUUUCUGUGAGGCCAUAAAUUAAAUUUUGCAUAUAGGCAUAUUUUUCUGGCAGAAUAGCUUUACUAAGAUUUUUAAAAGUCCAGAAUUCCUCUUACAGUCAUGAUAUAUCAACUUGGCUGGAUUAAGGAAUGCCCAGGGGAUUAGGAAAACAUACUUCUGGGUGUAUGUGGGUUGGUUUUGGUUAUGGAUGCCUGACUUUGGGGGUCUAUUUGUGGUUUCGCACCUGUUCCUCUCGGGCACUGUUCAGGGCCCUGCUCUGCUUCCCAGCCACCAUGAACUUAAGCUUCUUUGCUCUGCCACACCCUUCUGCUAUGAUGUUUCUGCCUUAGAACCAGGAGACCAUGAACUGAAUCACUUGAAACUGAGAGCCAAAUUAAACUUGUCCUUAAAUUGCUGGCAUUGGGUAUUAUAUCUCAGCGAUGGGAAAGCUAAUAGAAUUUCCAUGUUUUUAAAAAAUUACAGACUAUAUUAUUAUGAAUACAGUUCCAAACAAAA
This is a non-coding RNA of Heterocephalus glaber (naked mole-rat), 3773 nucleotides long. The record is from RefSeq and is a predicted model, not a curated record. Lineage: Eukaryota; Metazoa; Chordata; Mammalia; Rodentia; Bathyergidae.